This 107-nucleotide small nucleolar RNA is filed under the name Nannospalax galili (Upper Galilee mountains blind mole rat). RNAcentral's name for it is "Small nucleolar RNA SNORA63 (ENSNGAG00000007612.1)". Lineage: Eukaryota; Metazoa; Chordata; Mammalia; Rodentia; Spalacidae. The record is from RNAcentral.
AGCCCGAAUACAACUAUUGUAGUUCCCUCUGCCUAAAGCAUUUGACAUAUUACUAUCUCUGUCUAGCUCUAUAUCACAGUAAGACAGAGAUGCUUGGCUUCAAACAU